RNAcentral lists this ribosomal RNA (252 nucleotides) under uncultured bacterium. RNAcentral describes it as "partial 16S ribosomal RNA". It matches the Rfam family "Bacterial small subunit ribosomal RNA", at positions 524 to 776 of the family's 1533-position model. The record is from RNAcentral.
UACGGGGGGGCAAGCGUUGUUCGGAAUUACUGGGCGUAAAGGGCGCGUAGGCGGCCUGCUAAGUCGGACGUGAAAUCCCCGGGCUCAACCCGGGAACUGCGUCCGAGACUGGCAGGCUCGAAUCCGGGAGAGGGAUGUGGAAUUCCAGGUGUAGCGGUGAAAUGCGUAGAUAUCUGGAGGAACACCGGUGGCGAAGGCGGCAUCCUGGACCGGUAUUGACGCUGAGGCGCGAAAGCCAGGGGAGCAAACGGG